RNAcentral lists this ribosomal RNA (424 nucleotides) under uncultured bacterium. RNAcentral's name for it is "partial 16S ribosomal RNA". It matches the Rfam family "Bacterial small subunit ribosomal RNA", at positions 359 to 775 of the family's 1533-position model. The record is from RNAcentral.
GAAUAUUGGACAAUGGGCGAAAGCCUGAUCCAGCCAUGCCGCGUGUGUGAAGAAGGUCUUCGGAUUGUAAAGCACUUUAAGUUGGGAGGAAGGGCAGUCAGCGAAUACCUUGCUGUUUUGCCGUUACCGACCGAAUAAGCCCCGGCUACCCCUGUGCCGUGAGCCGCGGUAAUACAGAGGGUGCAAGCGUUAAGCGGAAUUACUGGGCGUAAAGCGCGCGUAGGUGGUUCGUGAAGUUGGAGGUGAAAUCCCCGGGCUCAACCUGGGAACUGCAUCCAAAACUGGCGAGCUAGAGUAGGGCAGAGGGUGGUGGAAUUUCCUGUGUAGCGGUGAAAUGCGUAGAUAUAGGAAGGAACACCAGUGGCGAAGGCGACCACCUGGGUUCAUACUGACACUGAGGUGCGAAAGCGUGGGGAGCAAACAG